AUUAAUAAUUUAUUAAACAGUAAUAUAAAUCAGCCAUUGCUUAUUGAUUUUAUCUCAUUAUUUUUUUUCUUUUGACAGUUGAGUCCUGCUAUCAUCGGACCAUGUCUUGCGUCCGUGACACCUCUCCGACGGCCAGCUCGAAAAAUGCCGAAGACACGGGGAAACAAGAAUCGAAGAAACGGCGGUUCCACCCGUUGCGGGGCCUGCGUCGGAUUUUCCGGCGGAAGCCGCGGGCCCAGGACCGGGAUCGGGAGCGGGGCCCGGACUCGCCGCACUCGAGUCGCGAGGGCCUCUCCCCCGACGACGCCCACCCCCACCCGGGCACUGACGCCGCCGGCAUCCAGGCCCAGUGCAGCCGCUCCGCCAGCCAACUCAUACAGGACCCUUCUCAGUCCAGGAGGAGCCUUCACUCAACCGUACUAAGUGUUAGCCACGACAGCAUAUUCUCACCCGAAAUCCACCCCGAAUCUCAACUGGGCUCAGUUCAGUCCGUCCAAAAAUUAGGCCACUCCAACAUCAGGGCGGAGCUGUUCGAUGCCGUCAGGCGGAGAAAAGGGCGGGAGGACACGAGCGAAGAGGACCUGGGCCUCCCCCGGAGCCCCCUCAGCAACUCCCUCACCACCACCGAUGCUCUCUCCGAAGCCAACAAGGAUGUGAGAAUAACCAAGUCCCCGCAUAGCACUUGCAGCGACGGCUCUCUACUCAGCAUGGGCUCUUCUGAGAUGGACGACGAUUUUUAUGGUCACAGCUCAAGAAACUCAUCAAAAUUAUCUCUGUAUGAUAGGAAAAGUUUAAAUCAGAUUCAGGUAUGAUUUUAUUUUUUCACAUGUGUUUGGUCAUUUAGGUUUCAGUGAGUACCUAAUCAAGGCUACUGCAUGCCACUCCCGGAGUUCCC
This 895-nucleotide long non-coding RNA is filed under the name Bemisia tabaci. RNAcentral describes it as "lncRNA ENSSSA2NGG011589". The record is from RNAcentral. Lineage: Eukaryota; Metazoa; Arthropoda; Insecta; Hemiptera; Aleyrodidae.